CCUACGGGAGGCAGCAGUGGGGAAUUUUGGACAAUGGGCGCAAGCCUGAUCCAGCAAUGCCGCGUGCAGGAUGAAGGCCUUCGGGUUGUAAACUGCUUUUGUACGGAACGAAAAAGUCUGCCCUAAUACGGUGGGCCCAUGACGGUACCGUAAGAAUAAGCACCGGCUAACUACGUGCCAGCAGCCGCGGUAAUACGUAGGGUGCGAGCGUUAAUCGGAAUUACUGGGCGUAAAGCGUGCGCAGGCGGUUAUAUAAGACAGAUGUGAAAUCCCCGGGCUCAACCUGGGACCUGCAUUUGUGACUGUAUAGCUAGAGUACGGUAGAGGGGGAUGGAAUUCCGCGUGUAGCAGUGAAAUGCGUAGAUAUGCGGAGGAACACCGAUGGCGAAGGCAAUCCCCUGGACCUGUACUGACGCUCAUGCACGAAAGCGUGGGGAGCAAACAGGAUUAGAUACCCUGGUAGUCCACGCCCUAAACGAUGUCAACUGGUUGUUGGGUCUUCACUGACUCAGUAACGAAGCUAACGCGNGAGUGACGCGNGGAGGUAACGGUCGCGAGUUAGUAAGUUAGAAGAAGUUGAGCGNGAGAGNGCGAGCGACGACGAGGAGGAGG
Molecule: ribosomal RNA, 612 nt
Filed under: uncultured bacterium
Lineage: Bacteria
Description: bacterial SSU rRNA
Rfam family: Bacterial small subunit ribosomal RNA (bases 1-539)
Source: RNAcentral